Molecule: ribosomal RNA, 468 nt
Filed under: uncultured bacterium
Lineage: Bacteria
Description: partial 16S ribosomal RNA
Rfam family: Bacterial small subunit ribosomal RNA
Source: RNAcentral
GACGAACGCUGGCGGCGUGCUUAACACAUGCAAGUCGAACGGAAAGGCCCUGCUUUUGUGGGGUGCUCGAGAGGCGAACGGGUGAGUAACACGUGAGUAACCUGCCCUUGACUUUGGGAUAACUUCAGGAAACUGGGGCUAAUACCGGAUAGGAGCUCCUGCUGCAUGGUGGGGGUUGGAAAGUUUCGGCGGUUGGGGAUGGACUCGCGGCUUAUCAGCUUGUUGGUGGGGUAGUGGCUUACCAAGGCUUUGACGGGUAGCCGGCCUGAGAGGGUGACCGGCCACAUUGGGACUGAGAUACGGCCCAGACUCCUACGGGAGGCAGCAGUGGGGAAUAUUGCACCAUGGGCGGAAGCCUGAUGCAGCAACGCCGCGUGCGGGAUGACGGCCUUCGGGUUGUAAACCGCUUUCGCCUGUGACGAAGCGUGAGUGACGGUAAUGGGUAAAGAAGCACCGGCUAACUACGUG